AGAGUUUGAUCAUGGCUCAGGAUGAACGCUAGCGGCAGGCUUAACACAUGCAAGUCGAGGGGUAACGGGGAAGCUUGCUUCCGCCGACGACCGGCGCACGGGUGCGUAACGCGUAUACAAUCUACCUUAUACUGGGGUAUAGCCUUUAGAAAUGAAGAUUAACCCCCCAUAGUCUCUUAGAGUGGCAUCACUUCUAGAGUAAAGGUUACGGUAUAAGAUGAGUAUGCGUUCUAUUAGUUUGUUGGUGUGGUAACGGCACACCAAGACUACGAUAGAUAGGGGCCCUGAGAGGGGGAUCCCCCACACUGGUACUGAGACACGGACCAGACUCCUACGGGAGGCAGCAGUGAGGAAUAUUGGACAAUGGAGGCAACUCUGAUCCAGCCAUGCCGCGUGCAGGAAGACUGCCCUAUGGGUUGUAAACUGCUUUUAUACAGGAAGAAACACCUCUACGUGUAGAGGCUUGACGGUACUGUAAGAAUAAGGAUCGGCUAACUCCGUGCCAGCAGCCGCGGUAAUACGGAGGAUCCAAGCGUUAUCCGGAAUCAUUGGGUUUAAAGGGUCCGUAGGUGGAUAAUUAAGUCAGAGGUGAAAUCUUGCAGCUCAACUGUAAAAUUGCCUUUGAAACUGGUUAUCUUGAGUUAUUAUGAAGUAGUUAGAAUAUGUAGUGUAGCGGUGAAAUGCAUAGAUAUUACAUAGAAUACCAAUUGCGAAGGCAGAUUACUAAUAAUCAACUGACACUGAUGGACGAAAGCGUGGGUAGCGAACAGGAUUAGAUACCCUGGUAGUCCACGCCGUAAACGAUGGUUACUAGCUGUUUGGACUUCGGUCUGAGUGGCUAAGCGAAAGUGAUAAGUAACCCACCUGGGGAGUACGUUCGCAAGAAUGAAACUCAAAGGAAUUGACGGGGGCCCGCACAAGCGGUGGAGCAUGUGGUUUAAUUCGAUGAUACGCGAGGAACCUUACCAGGGCUUAAAUGUAAGUUGCAUUAGUUAGAGAUAGCUAUUUCUUCGGACCACUUACAAGGUGCUGCAUGGUUGUCGUCAGCUCGUGCCGUGAGGUGUCAGGUUAAGUCCUAUAACGAGCGCAACCCCUGUUGUUAGUUGCCAGCGAGUCAUGUCGGGAACUCUAACAAGACUGCCAGUGCAAACUGUGAGGAAGGUGGGGAUGACGUCAAAUCAUCACGGCCCUUACGUCCUGGGCUACACACGUGCUACAAUGGUAGGUACAGAGAGCAGCCACUGCGCGAGCAGGAGCGAAUCUAUAAAACCUAUCACAGUUCGGAUCGGAGUCUGCAACUCGACUCCGUGAAGCUGGAAUCGCUAGUAAUCGGAUAUCAGCCAUGAUCCGGUGAAUACGUUCCCGGGCCUUGUACACACCGCCCGUCAAGCCAUGGAAGUUGGAAGUCCCUGAAGUCCGU
RNAcentral lists this ribosomal RNA (1420 nucleotides) under uncultured Flavobacteriia bacterium. Its description in RNAcentral is "16S ribosomal RNA". It matches the Rfam family "Bacterial small subunit ribosomal RNA". The record is from RNAcentral. Lineage: Bacteria; Pseudomonadati; Bacteroidota; Flavobacteriia.